GCUACCACGCGAGUGGAUGCCAAUCCCCAAAACCUCUCUCAGUUCGGACUGGAGUCUGCAACCCGACUCCACGAAGCUGGAUUCGCUAGUAAUCGCGCAUCAGCCACGGCGCGGUGAAUACGUUCCCGGGCCUUGUACACACCGCCCGUCAAGCCAUGGGAGCCGGGGGUACCUGAAGUGCGUAACCGCGAGGAGCGCCCUAGGGUAAAACUGGUGACUGGGGCUAAGUCGUAACAAGGUAAC
RNAcentral lists this ribosomal RNA (243 nucleotides) under uncultured bacterium. RNAcentral's name for it is "partial 16S ribosomal RNA". It matches the Rfam family "Bacterial small subunit ribosomal RNA", at positions 1249 to 1500 of the family's 1533-position model. The record is from RNAcentral.